This is a non-coding RNA of Apis mellifera (honey bee), 135 nucleotides long. Lineage: Eukaryota; Metazoa; Arthropoda; Insecta; Hymenoptera; Apidae. The record is from RefSeq and is marked provisional.
ACCGAUUAAUGAUACCCACACGGCUCUUUCGAUAAUAUUGAUGGCCCCCUCGUGUACCUUUGCAAGAAUAUCUCGGGGAUACGAGAGGGAAAAACGAGAGGGGGAGAGAGAAGUAUGGGACUUUUAUGUAAUGGA